This 362-nucleotide ribosomal RNA is filed under the name uncultured bacterium. RNAcentral describes it as "bacterial SSU rRNA". It matches the Rfam family "Bacterial small subunit ribosomal RNA", at positions 29 to 369 of the family's 1533-position model. The record is from RNAcentral.
AACGAACGCUGGCGGCGUGGAUAAGACAUGCAAGUCGAGCGCGAAUUCUGGUGUAGCAAAACAUCAGAGUUUGAGCGGCGCAAGGGUGCGUAACACGUGGGUAAUUUGCCGUGAAGUUGGGGAUAACUCGCUGAAAGGCGAGCUAAUACCGGAUGUGGUUUCGGGGUGGCAUCACUCUGCAACUAAAGCUGGGGAUCGUAAGACCUGGCGCUUCAUGAUAAGCCCGCGGCCUAUCAGCUAGUUGGUGAGGUAACGGCUCACCAAGGCGAAGACGGGUAGCUGGUCUGAGAGGACGACCAGCCACACUGGAACUGAGACACGGUCCAGACACCUACGGGUGGCAGCAGUCGAGAAUUUUUUGC